UCUGUACAGUUCUUCAAAGGGUUUGUGCCUUUGUGGUCUGUAUUGGUCUGUGUUGGACUGUAGAAGAACUUCAUAUGUCUUGGUUUGUUUGUUGUAGUCCAUUUGUUAAGUCUAUCACUGAGUCCGACCCAAACCUAUAUAUACAUUAUGGACUUAGGGGCGUGGAUUGAGCUGUGGCCUAUGUGGUAAAAGCUCAAUUUAAGGCUCUAAAGCUGGCCAGCAAUCGGCCCAAUAAGUUUCUGACAGUGUUGCUAAAGACCUGAAGUAUUUUGUGCCGAAGAAUCAAUCAGAGCGUCAUUUCGCGUCAUAAUGUGCAAUUACAUGUAGAGAAUACUAUGCCAAAGAGAUUAAGAGAACAUAGGAAUAACAAUUAACAAUCCCAGUCUAAUAAACCAAAUCAAAUGCUAGCAACAGAAAAUGCACAUCAGCUGAUCAUCACAUGUAGUCAUCUCAUCUACUGUACAACAAUAAGGUAUAAACUAUGAUCAACUUACACAUUCUAUAUGAAUACUCUGAC
This 517-nucleotide long non-coding RNA is filed under the name Aquilegia coerulea. RNAcentral describes it as "long non-coding RNA (ACOE_LNC000652)". The record is from RNAcentral. Lineage: Eukaryota; Viridiplantae; Streptophyta; Magnoliopsida; Ranunculales; Ranunculaceae.